UACGUAGGGUGCAAGCGUUGUCCGGAAUUAUUGGGCGUAAAGAGCUCGUAGGCGGUCUGUCGCGUCGGCUGUGAAAACCCGAGGCUUAACCUCGUGGCUUGCGGUGGAUACGGGCAGACUAGAGUGCGGUAGGGGAGACUGGAAUUCCUGGUGUAGCGGUGAAAUGCGCAGAUAUCAGGAGGAACACCGGUGGCGAAGGCGGGUCUCUGGGCCGUAACUGACGCUGAGGAGCGAAAGCGUGGGGAGCGAACAGG
RNAcentral lists this ribosomal RNA (254 nucleotides) under uncultured bacterium. RNAcentral's name for it is "partial 16S ribosomal RNA". It matches the Rfam family "Bacterial small subunit ribosomal RNA", at positions 524 to 776 of the family's 1533-position model. The record is from RNAcentral.